Molecule: ribosomal RNA, 883 nt
Filed under: Escherichia coli
Lineage: Bacteria; Pseudomonadati; Pseudomonadota; Gammaproteobacteria; Enterobacterales; Enterobacteriaceae
Description: partial 23S ribosomal RNA
Rfam family: Bacterial large subunit ribosomal RNA
Source: RNAcentral
GUCUGGAAAGGCGCGCGAUACAGGGUGACAGCCCCGUACACAAAAAUGCACAUACUGUGAGCUCGAUGAGUAGGGCGGGACACGUGGUAUCCUGUCUGAAUAUGGGGGGACCAUCCUCCAAGGCUAAAUACUCCUGACUGACCGAUAGUGAACCAGUACCGUGAGGGAAAGGCGAAAAGAACCCCGGCGAGGGGAGUGAAAAAGAACCUGAAACCGUGUACGUACAAGCAGUGGGAGCCUCUUUUAUGGGGUGACUGCGUACCUUUUGUAUAAUGGGUCAGCGACUUAUAUUCUGUAGCAAGGUUAACCGAAUAGGGGAGCCGAAGGGAAACCGAGUCUUAACUGGGCGUUAAGUUGCAGGGUAUAGACCCGAAACCCGGUGAUCUAGCCAUGGGCAGGUUGAAGGUUGGGUAACACUAACUGGAGGACCGAACCGACUAAUGUUGAAAAAUUAGCGGAUGACUUGUGGCUGGGGGUGAAAGGCCAAUCAAACCGGGAGAUAGCUGGUUCUCCCCGAAAGCUAUUUAGGUAGCGCCUCGUGAAUUCAUCUCCGGGGGUAGAGCACUGUUUCGGCAAGGGGGUCAUCCCGACUUACCAACCCGAUGCAAACUGCGAAUACCGGAGAAUGUUAUCACGGGAGACACACGGCGGGUGCUAACGUCCGUCGUGAAGAGGGAAACAACCCAGACCGCCAGCUAAGGUCCCAAAGUCAUGGUUAAGUGGGAAACGAUGUGGGAAGGCCCAGACAGCCAGGAUGUUGGCUUAGAAGCAGCCAUCAUUUAAAGAAAGCGUAAUAGCUCACUGGUCGAGUCGGCCUGCGCGGAAGAUGUAACGGGGCUAAACCAUGCACCGAAGCUGCGGCAGCGACACUAUGUGUUGUUGG